RNAcentral lists this ribosomal RNA (486 nucleotides) under uncultured bacterium. RNAcentral describes it as "partial 16S ribosomal RNA". It matches the Rfam family "Bacterial small subunit ribosomal RNA", at positions 30 to 507 of the family's 1533-position model. The record is from RNAcentral.
AUUGAACGCUGGCGGCAUGCCUUACACAUGCCAGUCGAACGGCAGCACGGGUGCUUGCACCUGGUGGCGAGUGGCGAACGGGUGAGUAAUACAUCAGAACAUGUCCUGUAGUGGGGGAUAGCCCGGCGAAAGCCGGAUUAAUACCGCAUACGAUCUACGGAUGAAAGCGGGGGACCUUCGGGCCUCGCGCUAUAGGGUUGGCCGAUGGCUGAUUAGCUAGUUGGUGGGGUAAAGGCCUACCAAGGCGACGAUCAGUAGCUGGUCUGAGAGGACGACCAGCCACACUGGGACUGAGACACGGCCCAGACUCCUACGGGAGGCAGCAGUGGGGAAUUUUGGACAAUGGGCGAAAGCCUGAUCCAGCAAUGCCGCGUGUGUGAAGAAGGCCUUCGGGUUGUAAAGCACUUUUGUCCGGAAAGAAAUCCUUGGCCCUAAUACGGUCGGGGGAUGACGGUACCGGAAGAAUAAGCACCGGCUAACUACGUG